AAAUGGACAAGUUAACAUCGGAUCAAAUUCGAAAUAACGAGGAUAGAGAUGUGAGCACCUGAGCACCCCCCCAACGUACCUCUGAACCAGGUCAUACACUGAGCACCCCCCCAACGUACCUCUGAACCAGGUCAUACACUGAGCACCCCCUCAACGUAGUUCUGAACCAGGUCAUACACUGAGCACCCCCUCAACGUAGUUCUGAACCAGGUCAUACACUGAGCACCCCCUCAACGUAGUUCUGAACCAGGUCAUACACAUGGCGGUUUGUAUUUCGGACUACACCAAGCCCCGAGUUUAGGGGUCCGCUGAAUAAAGCUAAAGUCGGUCGAUAAAGAACAGCAACCCAUACGUGGUAUCCAAGAUUUAUUAC
Molecule: long non-coding RNA, 373 nt
Organism: Gadus morhua (Atlantic cod)
Lineage: Eukaryota; Metazoa; Chordata; Actinopteri; Gadiformes; Gadidae
Exons: 3
Source: RefSeq, a predicted model, not a curated record